GGGUCAGUAGGUUGGUCGUGUCACCGGUACGUACUGGUCUCACUGAUUCCUCCUUCCUGAAGAACCGUAAUGCCAUUAAUUUGGUGUUGCGGGGAAACAGGACUGUUACUUUGAAAAAACUAGAGUGUUUAAAGCAAGCUAACGCUUGAAUACAUUAGCAUGGAAUAAUGAAAUAGGACGAUCGAUCCUAUUUUGUUGGUUUCUAGGAUUGACGUA
This 216-nucleotide ribosomal RNA is filed under the name Glomeromycotina sp. RNAcentral describes it as "partial small subunit ribosomal RNA". The stretch from base 40 to 216 matches the Rfam family "Eukaryotic small subunit ribosomal RNA", at positions 686 to 864 of the family's 1831-position model. The record is from RNAcentral. Lineage: Eukaryota; Fungi; Glomeromycota.